This 212-nucleotide ribosomal RNA is filed under the name Starmerella bacillaris. Its description in RNAcentral is "partial large subunit ribosomal RNA". It matches the Rfam family "Eukaryotic large subunit ribosomal RNA", at positions 116 to 331 of the family's 3401-position model. The record is from RNAcentral. Lineage: Eukaryota; Fungi; Ascomycota; Dipodascomycetes; Dipodascales; Trichomonascaceae.
UUGAAAAGGCACUUUUGUGCCGUUGUUAUUGUCUGAAGUUAGGGUCCUGAGAAACGAUGCUUAAGUCUUCUGGAAAGGAGCGCCAUGGAGGGUGAUAGCCCCGUCUAGCAUUGACCUCAUAUAGGAUCUUAACAUGGAGUCGAGUUGUUUGGGGAAUUGCCGCCUCAAAUGGGUUGGUUAUGCCUCCCAUCUAAAGCCUAAAAUAUCUGGGA